GUCAGGAUGGCCGAGUGGUCUAAGGCGCGAGACUCAAGCUUUCGACGGCGUGGGUUCGAAUCCCACUCCAGACA
This is a non-coding RNA of Erigeron canadensis, 74 nucleotides long. Lineage: Eukaryota; Viridiplantae; Streptophyta; Magnoliopsida; Asterales; Asteraceae. The record is from the annotation of a RefSeq genome assembly.